CAAGUCGAACGCGAAAGUUCCCUUCGGGGAGCGAGUAGAGUGGCGCACGGGUGAGUAACACGUAGGUAAUCUACCUUUGGAUUGGGAAUAACAACCGGAAACGGUUGCUAAUACCGAAUAAUGCAGCGGCACCUAAUGGUGACAGUUGUUAAAGCGGGGGAUCGCAAGACCUCGCGUCUAAAGAGGAGCCUGCGGCGGAUUAGCUAGUUGGUAAGGUAAUGGCUUACCAAGGCUAUGAUCCGUAGCCGGCCUGAGAGGGCGGUCGGCCACACUGACACUGACAUACGGGUCAGACUCCUACGGGAGGCAGCAGUCGGGAAUUUUGGGCAAUGGGCGAAAGCCUGACCCAGCAACGCCGCGUGAAGGAUGAAAUCCUUCGGGAUGUAAACUUCGCAAGAACGGGAAGAAUAAGUAAGAGCUAACAUCUCUUAUGAUGACGGUACUGUUUGUAAGCUCCGGCUAACUCCGUGCCAGCAGCCGCGGUAAUACGGGGGGAGCAAGCGUUGUUCGGAUUUACUGGGCGUAAAGGGCGCGUAGGCGGCCACCGCAAGUCGAUUGUGAAAUCUCCGGGCUUAACCCGGAAAGGUCAACCGAUACUGCGGGGCUAGAGUGCAGAAGGGGCAACUGGAAUUCUCGGUGUAGCGGUGAAAUGCGUAGAUUUCGAGAGGAACACCUGCGGCGAAAGCGGGUUGCUGGGCUGACACUGACGCUGAAGUGCGAAAGCUAGGGGAGCGAACGGGAUUAGAUACCCCGGUAGUCCUAGCCUUAAACGAUGAAUGCUUGGUGUCUGGGGUUUUAUAGUCCCCGGGUGCCGUCGCUAACGCUUUAAGCAUUCCGCCUGGGGGAGUACGGUCGCAAGACUGAAACUCAA
This 871-nucleotide ribosomal RNA is filed under the name uncultured Bacillota bacterium. Its description in RNAcentral is "bacterial SSU rRNA". It matches the Rfam family "Bacterial small subunit ribosomal RNA", at positions 58 to 904 of the family's 1533-position model. Lineage: Bacteria; Bacillati; Bacillota. The record is from RNAcentral.